This is a non-coding RNA of Pholiota conissans, 118 nucleotides long. The record is from the annotation of a GenBank genome assembly. NCBI's taxonomy places the organism in Eukaryota, Fungi, Basidiomycota, Agaricomycetes, Agaricales, Strophariaceae.
GGUGAGAUGGCCGAGCGGUCUAAGGCGCCAGACUAAGGACUAGGGUACAUUGUGCUCAUCACUAACCCACUGGGUUAUCUGGUCCUCCGGGGCGUGGGUUCGAAUCCCACUCUCAUCA